Molecule: ribosomal RNA, 460 nt
Filed under: uncultured bacterium
Lineage: Bacteria
Description: partial 16S ribosomal RNA
Rfam family: Bacterial small subunit ribosomal RNA
Source: RNAcentral
CCUACGGGAGGCAGCAGUGAGGAAUAUUGGUCAAUGGGCGGAAGCCUGAACCAGCCAAGUAGCGUGCAGGAUGACGGCCCUACGGGUUGUAAACUGCUUUUAUACGGGAAUAACGCGCCUUACGUGUAGGGCUUUGCAUGUACCGUAUGAAUAAGGACCGGCUAAUUCCGUGCCAGCAGCCGCGGUAAUACGGAAGGUCCGGGCGUUAUCCGGAUGUAUUGGGUUUAAAGGGAGCGUAGGCGGCAUGUCAAGCGUGCUGUGAAAUGUCCGGGCUCAACCCGGGCCUUGCAGUGGAAACUGGCGUGCUUGAGUGCGCGGGAAGCAGGCGGAAUUCGUGGUGUAGCGGUGAAAUGCUUAGAUAUGACGAAGAACCCCGAUUGCGAAGGCAGCUUGCUGCAGCGGAACUGACGCUGAUGCUCGAAAGCGCGGGUAUCGAACAGGAUUAGAUACCCUUGUAGUC